Molecule: ribosomal RNA, 612 nt
Filed under: uncultured Pseudomonadota bacterium
Lineage: Bacteria; Pseudomonadati; Pseudomonadota
Description: bacterial SSU rRNA
Rfam family: Bacterial small subunit ribosomal RNA
Source: RNAcentral
AUUGAACGCUGGCGGCAUGCCUUACACAUGCAAGUCGAACGCGAAAGCGGAGCAAUCCGCAAGUAGAGUGGCGAACGGGUGAGUAAUAUAUCGGAACAUUUCCAGUAGCGGGGGAUAACCUGUCGAAAGAUAGGCUAAUACCGCAUACGACCUACGGGUGAAAGCGGAGGACCGCAAGGCUUCGCACUAUUGGAGUGGCCGAUAUCGGAUUAGCUAGUUGGUGGGGUAAAAGCCCACCAAGGCUACGAUCCGUAGCUGGUCUGAGAGGACGAUCAGCCACACUGGAACUGAGACACGGUCCAGACUCCUACGGGAGGCAGCAGUGGGGAAUUUUGGACAAUGGGCGCAAGCCUGAUCCAGCCAUGCCGCGUGAGUGAAGAAGGCCUUCGGGUUGUAAAGCUCUUUCGGUGGGGACGAAACGGUUCGUGCUAAUACCACGGACUAAUGACGGUACCCGAAGAAGAAGCACCGGCUAACUACGUGCCAGCAGCCGCGGUAAUACGUAGGGUGCAGGCGUUAAUCGGAAUUACUGGGCGUAAAGCGUGCGCAGGCGGUUUGCUAAGACAGAUGUGAAAUCCCCGGGCUUAACCUGGGAACUGCGUUUGUAACUGG